CCUUGUAAACUCGGGGACUUGAAACAUUCACUGUUGGUGCUGCGGCAUGCAUAUGAAGGGUUUCUCUUGGCCUCCUCGCAGGUCUGGUUGCCGGCUACCCAGUCCAGCACGAGUGGGACGCCGUCCUUGUGCUUGUCUUCAAAGGUGCGGUUGCCGAGGUCAGACUUGUCGAAGGAGAACCUUGCCUCGUCGGCAAUGAAGGCAUAGGUGCAGGGGCUGUAGUCCUUGUAGGAAGAAAUAUUGAUGAAAUAGGCCAACCCGGUCGUAAAAUUGUCCAGCUUCUCCGGGAUGUUGGUCUGGCAGCAGCCGGUGCCAGAGCACGAUCCGCUUGUGAUGUUUGCCCCUUCGAAGCAGAAGGAGGCGCACCCAGUUCCUGAUGUAUAGUUGUCCCCGCCUAAGAGGAUGCCAACGACGUUGCAGCCCAUGGUCGUGAACCUGUUCUUGGUGCUGGAUACCCAAAAUGGUUUGUCGCCAAGGUCUAGAGAAGGCCUUUGACCAGCCACCACGCCGUCGGUACUGUUGAAACAAUCCCAGCUAAUGUAAUUCAGGAUGCGUGCUUGGCCCUGGGGCAAGAAUAUCUCCUCCACUGUAAUGUUCCCCUCGCGACCGCCCAAGAAAGCUCUGGGAGUCGCAGAGCCGUUACCGACUUCGCAAGUGACCUCGAAGCCUUCCCUGAAACACCCAUCGCCGAUGCCGAAGGGGUACGGGAUGCUAACACCGCCGCAUGUAUCAUUGCAACCUGGUGACACCACGUUCGGCGACGGUGGUGCCGAUGCUGCUGCUGCCGUCGUUGUUGCUUGGAGCAGCGUCAACAACAACAGCUUAAACGCGAACGGUGGCAGCGUGAAUCCCAUCCCUUAUGCUUGCUUGAAAUUAAUUGUACCCUUAGGCUUCCAUCAGAUUUAUAAGCCCACAGAUGGCGAAGCGAGCAUAAUUCGUCGGUCAGCUGUUGUUGCUUAGAAUAAUUGCUUGAUCGAAUACUCGUUCUGCAGCCCAUGUGAAGACUUGUCAAGGCGAAGCCAGCACAUGGCAUAUACUAGAAAAUACAGUCGCUUGGAAAGCUGGAGAUUGACUGGUACAGGCCCCGUCCAAGUCUUCUUUAAGACUUGGACGGUACAGGAGGCCUACUCGCAGUUUGACUCUGGAAUCCACACCUACUCGAAGACUUGCUUGCUUGACUAUGCUUAAUCCAAGAGACAAAUAAUUAACGCCAAAUUUCCAGUAAAAGUCCCCUCUCUCUCUCUCUCUCUCUCUCUCUCUCUCUCUCUCUCUCUAUAGUUUUAUCCCUGCUUAAUGCUCGCUGAUUGGCAUGGUCGAGAGGUGGAAUAUUUGGCUACUGAAAGAUGGCGGCGACAUGCUAUUUGUAGUGUGUUUUAAUAAUUAAGGCCAAUAAAGUUGAUGAUUAUUAUUAAUUAUGUGAAAUCCUAUGUAUUAUAUUAUGAAUUUGUUUAAAAAGAUUAUUACAUUAAACGGAGUAUAAGAUGCUCACAUGAAUUCGAAUCAAGAUCCAUCAAUUGUGAAACCAUACAGUAACCAUUAGAAUGUCUCGAUAAAUAUAUUAUUAUAUUAAGUAGUUAGUCACAAAUUUGGUUAUAGUUUGGUUCAGUCGUCCAAUGGAAACUACUCCGAAAGCCAAACAAAGAAGAAGAAAGAGAAAGACAUUGACUUUAUGUAGUUCCUAUCAUCGUCAUCAUCAUCAUCUUAGCUUCUUAAUUGCCAUUUUUUAAAUGAUCAAAAGUCAAACAAGUCACCAUCUCAAAAUUUGUAGUCAGAGAGAAAGCAAGAGAGAAGUAACCAGGAAUUUGAUGAGGUCAAAUUUGAUUAUUCUAUUGAAUAAGGAAUUCAUAAAUAUAAAAAAAAAUAAGAAAUUGAGUGAUAACUAAAAGAAGUAAAUAUAAGCGUAGAAUAAAUAAAUAGGUUAUUUGAAGGAAUUCUUAUAUCUCUCGUUAUCAAAUUUGUCACGGCGAAGUAGCAAUCAAAUUUGUUACCGUGAGAAGUAGCAAUCAAAUUUGAAGGAUCUCUUAUAAUAUCUUGUUACCGUGAGAAGUAGCAAUCAAAUUUGAAGGAUCUCUUAUAAUAUCUUGUUACCGUGAGAAGUAGCAAUCAAAUUUGUUGAGACACAAAAAUUGAUAUAUUUUCAAUGUGAGAGUUCAGGAGAAUAUAGUGUAUGACUAGUGUAGCUAACUAUUUUUCAAAGCACUUAGUGUAGACAUUUGUAAAGGCUAGCACUUAGUGUAUGAGUAGUGUAGCUAACUAUCACCUUCUUAUGAUUUAUGAUUUAUGAUUGAUCCGACAAAGAAUGAUCAUCUCAGUUAUAACCUAUGUUUUCUUGUCUUUGACGUUUUGGUGUUCUGUUUAAUUUCCCAAGCAAAAUAGUAGAGGUAAUAUAUACAUAUAGUAAUACCAUCAUCGAUGACCUCGAAUAUUGUAUAGGAAGUAGAUUUGUUGGAGUUGCUACGUCACACUUAGAUUUUGGCAUGAAAAUUGACGAGAGAAAGUGUAACUCGUCAAUCAUACACACACGUCGGUGCUUCCCACACCGGUAAGGCCGCCCGAAAGAGCAUCCACGCCGCCACACGGGUGAUGCCUUCCUUGGAAAGGCCUUACCAUAUUGAUACUAAAAGAAUAAGGUGCAAAUCCAAAAUAUAUGAUGUAGAAAUAAUUUAGUUUAUGUAUUAUUUGAAUUUUUUUUUAUUAAUUUAGGGAUAAUUUGCAUAUCACAUAAGUUGUCAUGAGGUAGCAUUUAUUCAAGGCAAUGAAUAUAGAAAAAAAAAAUGGGAAGAAAUUAAAUUCAUUAUUGAUCGAAGAUUAUAAAUCUUGAUUAAAGAUUUUAAAUUUUUAUCUAUACAAAUAUAAUUUUUUUAUUAAUCAAUAAUUGUAAUUAUCUCUAUAAAUUUAAAAUAUUGAAAGAUUUUUCUAAAAAAAUGGUCAAGAAUAUUAUUUUUUAAAGAAAAUAAAUUAUUAUAUAUUUAAUUUAAUUUAAUUAAUUAAUUAAUUUAUUUAUUUAUUUCGAGCCCUUAAAAAGGACUAGAACAUUAUAAUAGAUAACCAGAAAUUGAUCAAUAAAUUAUGUUCUUCGCAUGUGUUAAUGUACGAGAUCAUAUUUGAUUUUCUUAUGGAAUGAUUUUAUCGUCCACAUGAGAAACUUGUGAAAAUAUAGGAUCUUCAUCUUCAUAGUGUUUUUCAUUAGUUAGAACCAUUUAUCUUUUGAUUAUUAUCAUUCUCAUCCUUUUAGUCAUUCAUCAUAAAAAUAUAUAUAUUUACUACAAUUGAGCUACUGACGGUAUGAAUUACUAUCAUAAUAUUUUCUAUUACUAUAUAAACUUAAAGAAAAAAGAACAAAUGUUACAAGAGAUCCUGUCUCCCGUGCUGUCUUUGACUAUAGAUUUGAACCUCCUAGCGUUUUAGGGCCCUCAUUGUCGGGCAAGAUCCGGAUUCAAGCGACCUUGCCACCGUUGAGGAAUGAAAGCUUCUUCUACGAUUCCUAAAGAAUUUUGCCAAAAUAUGAGGCACUGUUGUGAUGCCUCCUACUAGGGUUUUGCCUUCACCCUAAGACGAUUAGGGUUGAAGACGGUAUGUGAAAUAAAUGGCUUUGCGCUUGCAUUAGCUACAUCAUCCUUGUUGCCACCGAAUCACCGAGAGAUCUCCCUUCGAGUGAGAGUGAGAGGGCAAAAGAACAUAAAUAUUAAAAGAACUAUAAAGAACUAGAACAACUAAAUAAAUUAAUCAUAGAGAGAGAGCUUAUAAAAAAACACGAUUAGAGAAUGAAUAGUAUGAAUACACAAAAUAAUAAUAAUUUAAUCAAGAUACCUUUUCAUUUUUAAUUUUGUCAGCUUUGACAUAAAUUAGUUGUAGAAUUAAAGAGAUCCAAGGAAUAUUUUUGUAAGGAUAAGUGACGAAAUGACAUUUAAACUCAUAACCUCAUUGAAAGUUUUUACUAGCUAAUAUAGUUAGCAUGGAAGGAGUGCCACCUGAUAAGAUAAUUAGUCUCUUAAUUUAUUUAAAUUAAAAUUAAACUAAGAUAAUUAGUCCCUUCCUAAUGUUGGAAGAUGUCUUCUUCUCUUCUUUUCGAGAGAGAUUGAGAUACUACGAGCAUCUUGUUAUCCCUUUUAAGUCUGAAUUCAAAUAUAAAUUGAAUCUCAAUUUGAUUGAAAAUUUUAAUCAAACAAUAUUUGAUUCAAAUUAAAAAAGGAGAUAAAAAUUUUUAAAGGCGUGAAUAAUGAUUCUCUAUCCUUCAUGCAUGUUUGAUAAAAAGAUCAUCCGAGAUAUAGGAAAGUCGACGAGGAAUAAACUUAUUCAAGACAACAAAAAAUAGGAAGGCAAUAGUACUGAGAGUCUCGAUCCACAUGUGCGCCAAUGAUGUAUUGUUAUUAACACCAAAGCUCUUAACAAAUAAAUAUAAAAUUAAGUAGAUAAAAUCCUAUAAAAAAAAUAAGUAAAAAUAAAAAAGAUAAAAUUUUAUUUUUUAAAAUAUUUAGAUAAUAGCUUUACUCAAAUUUUACAUACCCAACCUCAACCAGUUUGUCACCUCUUUAUUGACUUCCUCAAACACUUUCUUUUAAAGUAUAACAAGUUAGUUUUUUUUCGUUUUUGUCGAACUAUAAUAGUUAUUACGUCUGCAAUUUCGGAUCUACUGUUCUUUCCCUAUUUUAUAAGAUCAUCACUUAUUCCAAUGAGUAUAUCAUUAGAUUCAGUCAUUUUGAUAUAAACUCUAAUUAUUUAACUGAUGGUUAUGCUAACCUUUGUAGGUUGCUUGGCUCUCCUCACACUUGGAAAUGCUUGGAAGCCAAUGCCCCCUUUUCCAGCACAUAUUGAUUCAUUAUAUAUAUAUAUAUAUAUAUAUAUAUAUAUAUAUAUAUAUAUAUAUAUAUAUAUAUAUACUUAAAAUUUUUAUAAAAAUUGAAAGCAAAUUUCAUGACAUGAAAUGAUGUAUAUAAUAUUCACACAUGGAUCUAAGUCUGAAACCUAUCAAUACACUGACCAAUAUUACCCAUAUGGAUUUAAGUUUAAAAUCUAUUACUUGUAUAAUAAUGCACUAACCAACUCGCAAAUCUCAAUAAAGAUUAAAAGAAUUAAUUAGAUCGCUGGCUCUCGUAAGUAUGUAAAUAAUUUAAAAGAAUAUGUUAUUUAUAUAACAUGUGAAAUUUUUAUGGGACUCGAUAAAACUAUAGAUCAUACUUUUUUAUUUUAUUCUAUCAUUUUUUUAAUUUUUUUCUGAAAGAAAUUGGUCAUCCAUCUUUUUAAAUAAAAAGAAAGAAUAAGAAACUUGAUCCAAUCAAAUCAAAUGGGCAAUUGAGAUUGAAAGCACAAGCGAGAUGUAUGGUUUUUUUUAGGACCUUCGCUACCAUAUAAAUAUUACAAAAUUAUUAUUAUAGUAAAAUAAUUUUUUUUCUCUUUGUAUAUUAAAAUAAGUUUUUCAUCAAAAUAUUAACCAUAAAAGUAUAAACAGUAGAAUAAUAAAUCAAUCACAAAAUGAGAUACUGAAUAUAAUAAAUUUAAAAUAAAUCUUCUUCAAAAUUUUUAGAAUAUUAUAAUAACAUCAAGAACACAUAUCUCAGCUCAAUAUUAACAUAUCAUCAUCACCAUAGAUGGAUUUAAUGAAAAAAAAAAAUUUAGAUUUCACAAAGCGGAUAUAAUAGGAAAGUAUUUUAGAGAGAAUAAACUAUAUAUCGGUAUCAUUAAGAUUAUAAAGCUUAUUGUAAAAAUUCUUCACCUAAAAUUUAGGUCAAAAUGAACGAAGUUUAGUCGUUCCAUCGAGCAAAAGCUUCCAAACCUUAACUUUCGUACUCUUUUUCUUUGUUCUUUCUUUUCUGUGUCCCUGCAGUUUCACCACAUGCACUUAUUCACACACCACUAUCUUCCUACGUCUCCGCUUUUUUUUUUUUUUUUUAAUACAUCAGACUUGGGCUCAAUGCCCAAAUCAAUCGGGCCAAGCCUACCCAUGGGCUGUACCUAAUAGGUCUUUAAAUUAUGCAUACCAAUGGACGAGACGUUGACUUGGGAUCAACUGUUGAAUAGUCAACGAUAAGGAUAGCAACUACAACUAAUGUGAAUUUGGAACGAAAUAUAGCAGCUCGUGGAGGGCAUUUUCUUUUUUCCGGUUUAGAUUUGUGAUUUUUCUUUUUGCCAUAAGGAAUCAUUUUGGAUAUGCAUGGGAUGUAUGUAAGCUUCUUGUUGUUUUAGUCUUGCGCAUACACAUGCCUUUGAAUUAUUUGGCAGAGAGACUUAGGUUGACUUGUAUCUAAUUUUUGUUAAAUAUCAAAACUUGUAAUUUAACGAACCCUAAAUCUCUUAAGCCUCUUUUACCUCUACCUUAUCUCCUCCUCCCUUCUUCUUCUUCUUAUUUCUAAAUUAGUAUUUCAUUAGCCAUCUAUUUCCACUACUUUGAUUUCAACUACCAGUUUUACAUAGAAAAAGAAAUAUAAAUUACAAUAAUGAGAGUUACAAUUCAUUAUACAUUUAUUUAUCAUUCCUGUAAUAGAAGUAACAUAAGUUACAAAACAAGCAACCAAUAAUAUUCUGUUCUGCUAAUUCGAUUUUUACAUAGAAAGAGAACCUAGUUUCUUUAUCUUCUUCAUCUUCCCGCUUUUACAUCAAAUCCCAAUUUGUUCUCUGAACUGUGGUACCCGACAGAAUCCAAGGUACAGCUCAUAGAUGAUUCACCAAGCAAUGCUUCACGUUCCUCGGGUGCAUGGUACGUUGAAGAGACCUGUAGGAACCCUCCUAAUAUAUGCAGUUUCUCAGUCACUUCUCUCAUUGUAGGCCUUUCAUCCCCGUUCAUGUUCAAACAUUCCUUUGCAAGCUCGGCAAUUUCAUGGAUGACAUCCAUGUUUUCUUUUCCCAUGAUUUGAUCAUCCAAUAUCUCUUCAAGUCGGCUAUCUUUCAUUGCUUCGAUGAAGCUUGAGGCAAGAGCUUUUCCUUGACUACUCCCAUCAUAAUAAAUUGCCUUUUUUCUUGUGAUGAGUUCCACUAUAACUACUCCAAAGCUAUAGACAUCACUCUUUGCUGUCAGUUGACGGACUAGCAAGUACUCUGGGUCCAAAUAACCAAGAGUUCCCUGAACCAUCGUUAUGAAUUGGGUUUCAUCCAAAGACACCAUCCUCGAUGCACCAAAAUCCGAUACCUUUGACACAUAAUUAUGAUCUAGAAGUAUGUUGAGUGACUUCACAUCUCCAUGAACGAUCGGAGGGGAUGCCGAUGAAUGCAAGUAAGUGAGUGCUUCAGCAGAUUCUCUAGCUAUUCGUAGACGAGUAGUCAAGGGAAUUAGUGUCCCGUCGUUACCAUGGAUGAAGUCGAAGAGGGUUCCAUUGGGGAUGAACUCAUAAACCAACAUGGGAAUUUCUACUUCCAAGCAACAACCCAAGAGCCUUACAAUGUUCUUGUGAUUGAUCUGAGAAAGAAUAAUCAUCUCCCGUACGAAUUCUUCACUUUGGUCCUUGGUGACUAUCUUAGACCUCUUGAUGGCCACUUCCCUGCCACCGUCUAUGUUUCCUUUAUAAACAGUGCCAUGGCCUCCUUGGCCAAGUUCUCGACUCUUAUUGAAAUUAUCUGUUGCCUUCUCUAGAUCCUCUUUGGUGUAUAUUUUGACAGUAUCAAUUUGCUUUGAUCUGAUUUCUUCGUAUAACCUUAAGCCUCCAUUUUGCUGGAAGAAUUUAUCUUUUUCUUUGAGAAGCUUCCUUCUUUGAAAUGCUAAGAUUAUGCAGAAGAUGCAAGUGAUGAACGAGACAAACCCAACACAAAUGCCUGCACAAAGGGAUCAGUUUCAUGUCAAUUAUUUUACAAACUCUUCCGGAGAUCGAAUUACGAGUUUUCAAAAUAGAAGAUUGUUACCGACUAUUAAUGAAGAUUAAAAGGAUAAAAAAAAUUCAAGCUUUGUUUAAGUAGAACGGCUUAUUCGAAAUAAAAACUUGAAUCCGAAUACAUUAUUUUUCCUAUUGAUUGAAGUUUUAAGAGAAGGUUUAAACUAAUACGGAAGGAAGGAAGGAUGAGAACUUGUACCUAUAACAAUCUUCGUUGAUGUCGGAAUUCCGUGAUCUCGGACACAUGGUUCCGAUUUAGGGUCCUUGCUGCUUUGACCUUUUGGGCAUGAGCAGCUGUAGUUGCCUGCUGUGUUGCUGCACGUUCCAUGACAUGUAUAGAGAUUUGGCGAGCUGCACUCGUCGAUAUCUAAGGAUUGUCAAAGAAUCACGAGGGAAAAUUGUAAGACCACAUACAACAAUCGAAAAUAGGAGAGUUGGGGGAGAGAUGCAUGCUGACCUUUGCAGCCAUCCUGGAGGUAAGGAUUGCCUUGGAAACCUGUGGAGCAAUUGCAGAUAUAGCCAGGUGGACUGGUGGAGUCGAUACAGUCACUGUUGCCGCAUGCAUAUGAAGAAAGGUUUCUCUUAGCCUCCUCGCAGAUCUGGUUGCCGGCUACCCAGUCCAGCACGAGUGGGACGCCGUCCUUGUACUUGUCUCCAAAGGUGUGGUUGCCGAGGUCAGACUUGUUGAAGGAGAACCAGUCCUGCUCGGCAAUGAAGGCAUAGGUGCAGGGGCUGUAGUCCUUGUAGGUAGUAAGAUUGACGAAAUAGGCCAACCGGGUCGUGAAAUUGUCCAGCUUCUCCGGGAUGGUGGUCUGGCAGCAGCCGGUGCCAGAGCACGAUCCGCUUGCGAUGCUUGCCCCUUCGAGGCAGAAGGAGGCGCACCCGGUUCCUAAUGUAUAGUUGUCCCCGCCAAAGAGGUAGCCAAGGACGUUGCAGCCCAUGGUCGUGAACCUGUUCUUGGUGCUGGAUACCCAAAAUGGUUUGUCGCCAAGGGCUAGAGAAGGUUCUUCACCAGCCACCCAGUAGUCGGUACUGUUGAAACAAUCCCAGCUAAUGUAAUUCAGGAUGCGUGCUUGGCCCUGGGGCAAGAUUAUCUCCUCAAUUGUAAUGUUCCUCUCGCGGCCGCCCAAGAAAGCUCUGGGAGUCGCAGAGCCGUUAACGACUUCGCAAGUGACCUCGAAGCCUUCCCUGAAACACCCAUCGCCGAUGCCGAAGGGGUACGGGAUGCUAACACCGCCGCAUGUAUCAUUGCAACCUGGUGACACCACGUUCGGCGACGGUGGUGCCGAUGCUGCUGCAGUCGUUGUUGCUUGGAGCAGCGUCAACAACAGCAGCUUAAACGCGAUCGGUGGCAGCGUGGAUCCCAUCGCUUAUGCUUGCUUGAAAUUAAUGGUACCCUUAGGCUUCCAUCAGAUUUAUAAGCCCACAGAUGGAAAAGCGAGCAUAAUUCCUCGUUCAACUGUUGUUGCUUAGAAUAAUUGCUUGAUCGAAUCCUCGUUCUGCAGCCCAAGUGAAGACUUGUCAAGGCGAAGCCAUCACACGGCAAAUACAAGAAGACCCUGUCGCUUGGAAAACUGGACAGUGACUGGUACAGAUCCCGUCCAAGUCUUCUUUAAGAUUCCUGAAGGUUGGAGCUGUGAUCGGUACAGGAGUCCUCCUCGCAGUUUUGACUCUGGAAUCCACACCCAACCGUAGACUUGCUUGCUUAAUCCAAGAUACAAAUAAUUAUUGCCAAAUUUUCAGUAAAAGCCCCUCUCUCUCUCUCUCUCUCUCUCUCUCUCUCUCUCUCUCUCUCUAUAGUUUUAUCCCUGCUUAAUGCUCGCUGAUUNNNNNNNNNNNNNNNNNNNNCUCUCUCUCUCUCUCUCUCUCUCUCUCUCUCUCUCUCUCUCUAUAGUUUUAUCCCUGCUUAAUGCUCGCUGAUUGGCAUGGUCGAGAGGUGGAAUAUUUAGCUACUCAAAGAUGGCGACAUGCUAUUUGUACUGUGUUUUAACAAUUAAGGCCAAUAAAGUUGAUGAGUAUUAUUAAUUAUGUGAAAUCCUACGUAUUAUAUUAUGAAUUUGUUUAAAAGCAUUAUUACAUUAAACGGAGUAUAAGAUGCUCACAUGAAUUCGAAUCAAGAUCCAUCAAUUGUGAAACCAUGCAGUAACCAUUAGAAUGUCUCUAUAAAUAUAUUAUAUCAAGUAGUUAGUCACAAAUUUGGUUAUAGUUUGGUUCAGUCGUCUAAUGGAAACUACUCCGAAAGACAAACAAAGAAGAAGAAAGAGAAAGACAUUGAAUUUAUGUAGUUCCUAUCAUCAUCAUCAUCAUCUUAGCUUCUUAAUUGCCAUUUUUGAAAUGAUCAAAAGUCAAACAAGCCACCAUCUCAAAAUUUAUAGUCGGAGAAAAAACAAGAGAGCUAGAAGUAAGUAAGGAAUUUGACCGGGUCAAAUUUGAUUAUUCUAUUGAAUGAGGAAUCCGUAAAUAUAAAAAUAAAUGGGUUAUUUGAAGAAAUUUUUAUAUAUCUCGUUAUCACGAGAAGUAGUCAUCAAAUUUGUCACCACUAUGUCCUAUUUUGGAUAUGAGAGUUCAUGAGAAUAUAGCGUAUGAGUAUAGCCAACUAUUUUUAAAAGCGAAAGAAAUAUUAUUACGAUGAUAAUAUAUUUUUAAAAAAAUAAAAUAUAUUUUUAUUAUAUUAAAUGACAUUUCACAUGUGAAUUUGAAUCUUAGACUCAUUAUUGGAAGUUCACAUGUGAAUUUGAACACAUAGCCAACUACUUUUAAAAGCGAAAGAAAUAUUAUUACGAUGGUAACAUAUUUUUAAAAAAUAAAAUAUAUUUUUAUUAUAUUAAAUGAUAUUUCACGUGUGAAUUUGAAUCUUAGACUCAUUAUUGGAUGUUCACAUUGUGAAUUUGAAUGCGAGAUUCAUUUAUCGAGCGUUCACUUCAACCUGAAACUUAUUAUUAUAUAAUAAUACGUUAACCAAUCAGAUAUUUUUAGAGACGAUAGCAAUAUGUUUCAUACUGCUUCAUAUUGGAGCCAUUCAUAUCCUCAUUAUUCACAUCAAUAAUUUUUUAUUUUGGAAUUUAUUACGAAUGCUCUCAGCUGCUACAUAGCAUACUGUUAGAAUCCAUAAUAUUCUUAAUUAUCAAGAAGCCAACAGAGAAUAAAUAAGUUAGAGGAGAAGCACCAAAUUAAAUAUUUUUUUUAUCCUGCUAAUAUUGUCUUUUCAACAAAGGAAGUGUUGCCAUUUUACUUGGAAGUUCUUCAUCUUCCAACUUCUAUAUCAAAUCCUAUUUUGUUCUGUAAACUAUGGUGUCCUGUAGUGUGUAAGGUGGGAACCGUUGAUGAUUCACCAAGCAGUCUUUCACACUCUUCAGGAACAUGUUGCAUCGAAGAGCGUUGUUGGAGAGCCCUCUUCGCGUAUAUGGAGCUUCUCGGCCAAUUCUCUCAUUGGAGGAGGCCUUUUUAUCUCCCUCAACAUUCAACACUCCUUUGCAAGCUCGGCAAUUACUUGGAGGAUAUCCAUGCUCUCCUCCCCUGUGAUUCGAUCAUCCAACAUCUCAUCAAGCUUGUUAUCUUUUAAAAUUCACAACUUGUGUUCAGCCAGUCGACAAGCUUCAAAAUCGUGAUUCUUUCAAGAAGAUCAAUGGAAUCCAUAACAUUAUGAGGACAAAAAGAAUAGAACUUCUGGAUUCGAAACUGGUCCGGAUUUGACUCUGGAAUCAUUUCAAAAAUAUGCAGAUGACUUCAAGGAGCAGUACUACUUUCACACAAUUGCAGACUUUGAUGUAAUAUCUGGUCAACAGGAACCAUCAGUAGAGAAUAUUGAUGGUGAAUAUUGGCGGAUAGUAGAGAAGCCAACUGAGGAGAUUGAGGUGCUAUUCUAGAUCACACAAACCGUAACGAAUCUAGUUGUGCACUAGUGUUUCUGUUGAUUAUAGUAUUAUUAGAUGCAUUUCAUACUUCGCAUAAAAUUGCAAAAAUAUCUGGACUUGUCUCUUCUUCCAAUUCGAAGAACAACCAGACUUGCUUCACAAUCUUGUAAUAGCUUUUUGCCUUAUCUUUUCUCUCUGCAUGAAUGUUAUCUUGGGAAGAUGAUGUUUUCUAGCUUAUUUUCUUUCAGAAAUUCAACUGGAAAGUAUUCAGCAUGUCUGAUGUUUACUGGUGUGUUCAGAGGCCCAGAAGAGUUUGUUCUCACUUUCCCUCGAGCUUAUCACGCUGGUUUUAAUUGUGGAUUCAAUCGUGCAGAAGCUGUAAAUAUGGCUCCUCUUGAUUGGUUACCUCAUGGGCAGAAUGCUGUGGAACUUUAUCGUGAACAGGGACGAAAAAUAUCAAUAUCCCUUUCAACUGGAGCUGCAAGGGAAGCUGACUUGUUUUCAAGGCAGUCAGAUUGUGAUGAUAAGACAACUUCCCAUGCUCACAAGGAUAAAAUUCUUCUAGUGCCCCAGACUAAUGUGUUGUUGGCAAACGAAAAUGAUCUGUUGGCUGGCCUGCAUGUUUCUCGUAAUAGGUUAAUGAUGAUGACCAGGUAGAGGAAAACUGCAGAGAGGUUCUCUCCAAUUUAUGUGAUCAACAGUAGGUUGAAUUCCUUCCUGGAAGGGAAAGUGAAUGUGUGAGAUCUGCAGCCAGUGUAGUACCUGUUGCAAAAACCAAGUGCAGAUAUUUUGCCUGCAUAUGAAGCAUCUGAUUGUGUUACUGAACCUAUUCAUCCUCAAAUUAUCCAGAAUUAUGGAAGAGGAGAACCAAAAGAUAAAAGCCAGAAGGGACAAGCUGAGUUCAAUUCUGAGGCUAACAUUGAUAGAGGCAAUUCAUCUACUGAAAUCCAACCUUGUACACAAAGAAAUCUUGAUAUAUGUAACUAUGAGCAGAUGGGCCCUCGAUUGGAAAUGGUGGUGCAAAAGUAACUGCAAUAUUGAGGUUUUGGCAUAUGGUAUUGUGCUUUCUGGAAAGUUUGCUGUUGAUGUUGGGAACAGGAUUCUUGAUUCAUUUCAGGAAAGUUUCUGCUGGAUUUGAAAGUUACUCGGGACAUAAAUUUUUUCUUGUUAUUGUGUACUUUUGCUUUUUGUCUCAUCAUUCACCUGAUAUUUGUCUCAUUAUGCAGGAUAUAGAAGUCAAGUUAAAUACAUUAGCAUUUUAGAUCCAACACAGAUGUGUUACUGUGUAUCUGAAAUUUUGGAUGUUGGAUUACUUGGACUUCUAUUGACAGUGAGUAAUUUUGUCUCUUUGUACCUAUGUCACUGUUUAUGUCAACCAUGCAUCCAGACAUUGUACAUGAUGCUAGAUUAAGAAGCAUCAUUGUAAGUUAUUAUCACAGUAUAAGCAUGACACAUUUUAUCAGUAAGUUGAUCUUAGUAGUCCUUUUGAAUUUAUUCCUUAUCAACUAGUUCACGAUUGAAUUUAUUCGAUGUGUUUGGUGCACCCAUGAAACACAAGAUUCUUCAUUAUUGCAAUAGCAGACUUGUUAUCAUAGUAGAUUUUAGUUAGUCCAUCUUAUUUUUGUUGGAGAUCUAUUAGAAUUCUUACGAGACAAAUUAUUCGACAUGCUAUACUUGUAGUUGCAAUAUGCUCCGCCUCUCUUAAUGUAUCUAAGAACUUUGCUCGCUAAGACUAUCCGUGCAUGAAUCUAUAUAGCAAACCAAAUGCAAAUAUAAUAUCCUAUCUUGAAUGUGUAAGAUAAAUAAACUCUCUAAUUAAACUUGUAUAUUGUUGUUUUUUCAACUCUAUCAUUUAAUAUGGAGUAUUCAUUGGUUUAUAAGUCAUCAUAUAACAUUGUUUUAACAAAUCUUUAGUAUAUUUUAUACUUACUUUGUGUUUUUUCUUUUUGCCAAAAAAAAAAAGGGAAUCAUUUUGGAUAUGCAUGGGAAGCAUGUAAGCCUGCUGUUGUUUUUGUCUUGAUGCAUACACAUGACUUUAAAUUAUUUGGCAGAGAGACUUAGGUUGACUUGUAUCUAAUUUUUGUUAAAUAUCACAUCUUAUAAUUUGUCGUACCCUAAAUCUCUUAGCUUCUUUUACCUCUACCUUUAUCUCCUCCUCUCUUCUUCUUGUUAUUUCUAAAUUAGUAUUUCAUGAGCCAUCUAUUUUCAGUACUUUGAUUUCAACUACCACAAAUAAUCUUACCUUGAAUAGGACUCUUAAAUCAAUAUCUAAUCUAAUCAUAAAGCUUAAGUUAAUAUUCCAAUACUUCCUUCAAACUCGAGUUUUACAUAGAAAAAGAAAUACAGAUUACAAUACUGAGAGUUACAAUCCAUUAUAUAUUUAUUUAUCAUUCCUGUAAUAGAAGUAACACAAGUUACAAAACAAGCAACCAAGAACAGUCUGUUGUUCUACUAGUUCGAUUUGAAAAUAGAGAGAGAACCUUGUUUCUGUAUCUUCUUCAUCUUCCAGCUUUUACAUCAAAUCUCAAUUUGUUCUCUAAACUGUGGUACCCGACAGAAUCCAAGGUAGAGCUCAUAGAUGAUUCACCAAGCAAUGCUUCACAUUCCUCGGGUGCAUGGUGUGUUGAAGAGACCUGUAGGAACCCUCCUAACAUAUGCAGUUUCUCAGCCACUUCUCUCAUUGUAGGUCGUUCAUCCCCCUUGAUGUUCAAACAUUCCUUUGCAAUCUCGGCAAUUUCUUGGAUGAUGUCCAUGUUUUCUUUCCCCGUGAUUUGAUCAUCCAAUAUCUCUUCAAGUCGGCUAUCUUUCAUUGCUUCAAUGAAGCUUGAGGCAAGACCUUUUCCUUGAUUGCUCCCAUCAUAAUAAAUUGCCUUUUUCCUUGUGACGAGCUCCACCAAAACCACUCCAAAGCUAUAGACAUCACUCUUUGCUGUCAGUUGACGGACUAGCAAGUACUCUGGGUCCAAAUAACCAAGAGUUCCCUGGACCAUCGUUAUGAAUUGGGUUUCGUCUAUAGAUAUCAUCCUCGAUGCACCAAAAUCCGAUACUUUUGGCAUGUAAUUAUGAUCUAGAAGUAUGUUGAGCGACUUCACAUCUCCAUGAACGAUCGGAGGGGAUGCCGAUGAAUGCAAGUAAGCGAGUGCUUCUGCAGAUUCUCUGGCUAUUCGUAGACGAGUAGUCAAGGGAAUUAGUUUCUCAUUAUUGUCAUGGAUGAAGUCAAAGAGGGUUCCAUUGGGGAUGAACUCAUAAACCAACAUGGGAAUUUCCACUUCCAAGCAACAACCCAAGAGCCUUACAAUGUUCUUGUGAUUGAUCUGAGAAAGAAUAAUCAUCUCCCGUACGAAUUCUUCACUUUGGUCCUCGGUGACUACCUUAGACCUCUUGAUGGCCACUUCCUUGUCACCGUCUAUGUUUCCUUUAUAAACGGUGCCAUGGCCUCCUCGUCCAAGUUCUCGACUCUUAUCGAAAUUAUCUGUUGCUUUCUCUAGAUCAUCUUUAGUGUAUAUUUUGACAGUAUCAAUUUUCUUUGAUCUGAUUUCUUCGUAUAACCUCAAGCCUCCAUUUUGCUGGAAGAAUUUAUCUUUUUCUCCUAGAAGCUUCCUUCUUUGAAAUGCUAAGAUUAUGCAGAAGAUGCAAGUAAUGAACGAGACAAGCCCAACACAACUGCCUGCACAAAGGGAUGAGUUUCAUAUCAAUUAUUUUGCUAACUCUUUCGGAGAUCGAAUUCCAAGUUUCCAAAAUAGAAGAUUGUUACCGACGAGGCCUAUUAAUGAAGAUCAAAAGGAUAAGAAAUUUCAAGCUUUUUUUUUAAGUAGGAUGACUUAAUCGAAAUAAAAACUCGAAUCCGAAUAGAUUAUUUGUUUCUUCAGAUUGAAGUUUUAAGAGAAGGUUUAAGCUAAUACGGAAGGAAGGAUGAGAACUUGUACCUAUAACAAUCUUCGUUGAUGUCGGAAUUCGUUGCCGUGGGACACAUGGUUCCGAUUUAGGGUCCUUGCUGCUGUGACCUUUUGGGCAUGAGCAGCUGUAGUUGCCUAAUGUGUUGCUGCACUUUCCAUAACAUGGAUACUGAUUUGGUAAGCUGCACUCGUCGAUAUCUAAGGAUUGUCAAAGAAUCACAAGGAUAAAUUGUAAGACCAUAUACAACAAUCGAAAACAGGAGAGUUGGGGGAGAGAUGCAUGCCGACCUUUGCAUCCAUCUCGGAGGUAAGGAUUGCCUUGGAAACCUGUGGAGCAAUUGCAGAUAUAGCCUGCUAAACUGGUGGAGUUGAAACAUUCACUGUUGGUGCUGCGGCAUGC
This 15949-nucleotide long non-coding RNA is filed under the name Musa acuminata (dwarf banana). RNAcentral describes it as "long non-coding RNA (MACU_LNC000171)". The record is from RNAcentral. Lineage: Eukaryota; Viridiplantae; Streptophyta; Magnoliopsida; Zingiberales; Musaceae.